Daucus carota subsp. sativus is the source of this 1263-nucleotide long non-coding RNA. RefSeq lists it as uncharacterized. The transcript is spliced from 3 exons. The record is from RefSeq and is a predicted model, not a curated record. Lineage: Eukaryota; Viridiplantae; Streptophyta; Magnoliopsida; Apiales; Apiaceae.
GUAGGAGUAAAAGCUAAGUUCAGCUUUGAGGUGACUGUGACCUUGAUUGAAAGCAUCUUAUCGUUUAAGUUGGACCCGAGGCAAGGGUAAAGAUAAAAAUAAGUAGAAGGGGGACCGAGCUGAAGCAGAAUCUUGCCUGGAUGAUGUACAUAUGGCUACUUUGACCUGGGGAUGGCCUAGUUAUAUGUUUUGUUAUAUGUCACCUAGUAAUGACACGAGUAUGGUUUGUAUUAAAGAAUGAAAGUAGACUUUAUAUGUGUGUAAUAUGGUUUUGUUGGAAAAAAAUAAAAAAAUGCUAUUGCUUUUAUGAUGAAUUCGCAAUAUUAUUGUAGUAAGUCUUCUUUUAUUAAGUUAUGCGGGUUGGGGCGUUACAAGUUUGGUAUCAGAGCCCAGGUUUAAAGCGGUUCUGUAGACCGGCCAUAUGUACACAUCAAGGAAGGAAAUGCUUCACUCGGUAGUAAGUGUUUAUAUUUAUUAGUUAUAUGUUGGUUCAAUUGCCUAUAUGUUGAUAUGCUACUCGGUAUAGAUAAAUAAUUAAAUUGUAUGAUUUAUUGAGUAGAAAGAGAUGGCUGAAAGGCAAACAUCUGAAGCUAGUGAUAGUCCCACCCGAGAAAGGCAUGUCAGGGAAUUAGCUGAAUUACAAGAAAUUAUUCGUAGACAAGGUGAGCAGAUUGAGAAGUUAGCUCAAGAGUUGCGACAAGGACGUAAUGCUGAAGCUGUCCCACCUCCUCCACCACCUCCCCUACAUCAGAUGGAACCUUUAUAUGAGAGAUUUAGAAAACAACGCCCACCUACUUUUGAGGGUAGCAGUGACCCAUUAGAAGCACUAGAUUGGAAGAGUUCCCUAGAAGAUAUCUUUGAGUUUAUGCAAUUAAAUGAUAGGGAAAAGGUGUCUUGCACCGUGCAUACGUUAAAGAAAGACGCUAAGAUUUGGUGGGAUGUUGUUAAGCUUACACGUGACGUUAGUCAGAUGACUUGAGCUGAUUUCGAGACCCUUUUUAACGAGAAGUUCUAUAGUGAAGCUAUGUUAAGUGCUAAAGUAAACGAGUUUAGUAGAUUGUACCAGGGGAGUCUAUCGGUUGCUGAGUAUGCUCGAAAGUUUGAUCGAUUAGCUAAGUUUGCACCGGAUUUGGUGGUCACUGAGGCUAGUAGGGUGAAUCGUUUUCUUGAGGGAUUACAACCAGAGUUAGCUAGAGAUGUUGACAUGGGACGUACUGGGCCUCUCACUUAUUCUCAAGCAGUUGAAAAAGCUUUGAGAGCUGA